AACCGUGUUCCUCUAAUAAAACCCGUCGAGUCGGAAGAGUCAACUCGGUUUGGAUGAACGACGAGUCAUGAUGAUGUUGAAGAGAAGGGAGAAAGUGGAAGAAGAGAGUGGAAAUUGCAAUGCCAAUGAGGAGGAACGGUGCUCGAUCUCGAAGCAUGUUCCUCGAUUUCUGAGGUGGAGAAUUGUGACGACUCGAUGAUGAAUCUGUGUUGCGAGGAUUAUCAGAAUUGAAGAUGGAGAGGGAAUUGCUCUGAUUUGUGAUGCAUGGAAAUUGGCUUUAUAAUCGUUCCAACGUGCGCGGAAUUGUCACGAGAGGCAAGGGGGAUUCUCAUGGAUCACUCAUCACUAUACUUUUGUUUCUACAAAAAAAUAUAUCUAUAUCCAUUAUAUACUAGUAUAUGCUUCUUGCAAGAUGCAGCCAUGGAUACUCCACCGUCAC
Cicer arietinum (chickpea) is the source of this 439-nucleotide non-coding RNA. The record is from RefSeq and is a predicted model, not a curated record. Lineage: Eukaryota; Viridiplantae; Streptophyta; Magnoliopsida; Fabales; Fabaceae.